Molecule: long non-coding RNA, 708 nt
Organism: Hibiscus syriacus
Lineage: Eukaryota; Viridiplantae; Streptophyta; Magnoliopsida; Malvales; Malvaceae
Exons: 3
Source: RefSeq, a predicted model, not a curated record
CCUCCACCGUCAGAGCCUUCUUUUCCCAUACCCUACUUUGAUUGCUUUUAGAAUCAAAGUGGAGAAUCCUCAAGGAUGGUCGUGGCAAGACCUGUUCGACGACAUGACUCGCCUCGCCUCGUCUGUAGCAGCAUCAACCGCCAUGCUCGCGGCUUCAACUCCGGCCGGUUCUAGAGCAAGCGGUAGAAUAUCGGUUGAGCACAUGGAGAUCAUCGAAGAAGGGUCGACCGUGCACGAUGAUAAGAAAGAUACUGCGAAGCAAGAUAUUGAAGCUCAAAACAUUGAAAAACCAAUGGUUGUUUAUAAGUUCAAGGAACAUAAACCAGCUCAAUCAUGAAGAAAUAUGACAAGAUCAGUUCAAGGAAUGCUUCGAAAUCAUACAUGAACUUGGUGGAUAGUUCUUAUCUGGGUAGCUCCGAAAAGGUUUCGAAACUUAUGGCAAGGGCGACUUUAUUUUGUCCUUCCUUUUUGCAGAAAACUUACGGGAAGGAGAGGACUGAUAUUGAGCAUCUGACGGUGGACAUGGGAAAAAGAAGGUAGAAGUGUGGUGGGGUUGGGGGAAGAGGGGUAGUUCUGGUAUGUUAUUUAUUUAUUUAUUUUAAUUAAUUUUUAUUUAUUCAGAUAAAAAAAGAAAAACUAAAGGAAGACGUGACGUUAUGUAUUUUGAUUGGCCAUUGAUUUUUUUUAUUUUAAUAGAGUUAACGAUUU